GUUAGACUAACAUAAAAUUGUCAACAGUUAUUUGGGACAAUACACACAUAAACUAACAAAAUAGCAAAACAAAUAGUUCCCCAUGGAUCGCCUGAGUAUAUAGGCAGACUCUUGAGUUGAUAAUUUCUUCCCAAAUGUAAUGUCCCGGCUGGCUGAAGGACUGGACCAAGGUGCAGCAUGUCAGCUAUGUCUAAUAUCGUCAUGGAGACUCUCCUGUCCUGGGACCUGGUGUCUAUGGUCAUCAUGUUGUUCCUUGUCUCUACAGAGUCAGCAGGUGACUCAACAAAAUAUCAGAAAAAUAAAUCAGCUUCUUUGGGAGAAAUUGUUACUUUGGUUUGCAAUAACUCAGAGACGGAUGCAUCAUACAUCUGGAAGAAGGACACAGUUCUUAUUUUCUCUCAUAGUGACACACUGAAUAAAUCUGAAAGAAAAUUCACCUCUGACAGGAUGAGUGUUGAUCCACCUACAAAGCUGACUAUCUUUAAUGUAGAGUUAAAUGACACCGGGAGCUACAGCUGUCAAAUAACAGAUGUUCAAAGUGGUGUACGGACAAUGGAGUGGAAUUUGACCAUCACUAAUAACCUCACAGAUCAUGCUGAACAUAACCUACGGAGGUUAUUGCUCUUCACAAUUCCAUCUGCUAUUGGAGGAGUGGUUCUCUGCAUUAACAUCUGUUGUAUGGUCUGGCUAUGUAGGAAACGAAAACAGGAACAGACAAGUCAUUGUGAUAAGCGCAAAGAGGAGAGCAAUGCCCAGUCUGAUGGCCACAUUGCCAGAAGAGAACAACACCAGUGGAGUCAGUACUUCGAAAGACUCAACUCAGUCUAUGGACUGUAGUAAUCACACAACAGUUACUUAACAGGCCAAAAAAGAGUCAAGUAUCAUAGACGGGUUAGCUGACAAGGUCACGACAACAAAGCGCAUGCUUCAAUGAGGAAGAAGUCCAUGUGUAGUUGUGGUUCUGGAUGACCAGAUAACUAGCAACAUUGACAAGAAGCUGCUAUGUGGGAAUCUUAGGUGGUUCGUUUCAGCUUGUUGUGUCUAGUUAGUGAUACUGUGAUGGAACAUUUUCUGUUUGUGUUUUUCUAAUAACCAAUUUCUGUGCUCAUGCAAGUGACUGAUUGAACAUGCAGAGGAGGAAUCCUCACUAUCAGUAUGCAAUUUGGCAGUACACCCAGAACCGUGUUUUGAGAACUAAAGGGAUAUCUUAGUUUCAAGGUCUCAGCUUGGAGAGAGGAAGCCUCUUAAGGUAUUGGUCAGUCACAUGCAUGAACCAAACGUUAAUGAUGAAUUAAUUAUGAAUAAUAAAUAAGCUAAAUCAUGCAAAUAUAACUUGUCUGUGUGAGCAGUAUAUAAGAGAACUAACGGGACUAGUCCAGUGAAGCUCACUUCAGACCGACACUUUAUGCAUCUAAGUUUGACUGGGACGUCUUCAGCGUGCUGUAAAUAAACAAUGCUUCAUUUAAGAUUGACUUCAAGUGUCCCUGUGUAGAAUUUCCAUGACAAUGCCAUAUCUUGUUUUGAAGUGUCUUGUCUGAUGCCACAUCUAGCUAAUAUGGCAAAAAUGUGCUAGCUAGCUAAACAACAACUGUAACAGCGUAUUUGAGAGACAACAAGUGCUCAAUGUGCAAAUGUAUUUAAGUCCAAUGGUAACACUUUACUUGACACCCAGCGGCAUACCACGUUAUGACACCCUCAUAACCAUAUCAUAAUAUGUCAUAACAACUGACAUAACGUGUCAUAUCCUGUCAUUAUAUGGUCAUAACACUGUCAUGACCCAUAUAUGUACACCUGUUGUGACACAUAUUGCAUUAUUUUAUGGCUGGUUGGUUAUGAGAUUUACAUAAGAGUGUCAAAACCCACAUUUAAUCAAAUGUAUUUUUUCCCUGCCAAGAAGUUUUCGUUCGUUUUAAAGGUUAUUCUUGUCCUUUGUUGUUAUUGUAAAUAAUAAUUUACACUCAUGUUUUUUUUCAUAUUUUAAAUCAUUUGCAAAAAAUACACUUCAAGACGCUGUCAUGAAGCAUUAUGACCAUCCUGUGUCACUUUACUUGGACUAAGUAAAUAGACUUUAUGACACUGUCAAGAAGCAUUAUGACCAUCCUGUGUCACUUUACUUGGACUAAGAAAAUAGACUUUAUGACACUGUCAAGAAGCAUUAUGACCAUCCUGUGUCACUUUACUUGGACUAAGAAAAUAGACUUUAUGACACUGUCAUGAAGCAUUAUGACCAUCCUGUGUCACUUUACUUGGACUAAGAAAAUAGACUUUAUGACACUGUCAAGAAGCAUUAUGACCAUCAUAAUCAUAAAAUCCAGAUAGGCCUAUCAUGCACUGAACAAAAAUAUAAACGCAACAUGUAAAAUGUUGGUCCCAUGUUUCAUGAGCUGAAAUAAAAUAUCCCUCAAAUGUUCCAUAUACACAAAAAGCAUAUUUGUCUAAACAUAUUCUGCACAAAUUUGUUUACAUCCCUGUUAGUGAGCAUUUCUCCUUUGUCAAGAUAAUCCUUCCACCUGACAGGUGUGGCAUAUCAAGAAGCUGAUUAAACAGCAUGAUCAUUAUAUAGGUGUACCUUGUGGGAACGUGCAAUUGGCAUGCUGACUGAAAGAAUAUCCACCAGAGCUGUUGCCGGGGAAUGUAAUGUUCAUUUCCCUACCAUAAUCCACCUCCAAAGUCGUUUUAAAGAAUAUGACAGUAUGACCAACUGGCCUCUCAACCCGCUAACCAGGUGUAACCAAGCCAGCCCAGGAUCUCCACAUUCAACUUCUUCACCUGCAGGAUCGUCUAAGACCAGCCAUCCGGACAGCUGAUGAAACUGAGGAGUAUUUCCAUCUGAAAUAAAGCCAUUUUGAGGGGAAAAACUCAUUUUGUUUGCCUAGGCCUGGCUCGCCAGUGGGUGAUUGCCCUCCCAGGCCCACCCAUGACUGCGCCCCUGCAAAGUCAUGUGAAAUCCAUAGAUUAGGGCAUCAUUAAUUUAUUUAAAUUGAUUGAUUUUCUUAUAUGAAUUGUAACCCAGUAAAAUCGUUGACAUUGUUGCAGGUUGUGUUUAUAUUGUUUUCAGUAAUACCUUAUUUCAGUCAAAAAGAGUGUGUAUUGUCCUGCUCCUGAAAUCUGUUCCUGCAUUCAUCCCAGUCAUCAGCCACAGAGUAUUGGGGUACUGUAGGUGCAUGUCUGACAUCAAUUUGUGCGCAAUUACAAUGAUAAUUUAAUAUUGUCAAUUUCAGAAAAUGUUAUAUAACAAACAUACUGUUGACAAGUAGGC
Molecule: long non-coding RNA, 3259 nt
Organism: Oncorhynchus tshawytscha (Chinook salmon)
Lineage: Eukaryota; Metazoa; Chordata; Actinopteri; Salmoniformes; Salmonidae
Source: Ensembl